RNAcentral lists this transfer RNA (71 nucleotides) under Quedenfeldtia trachyblepharus (Atlas day gecko). RNAcentral describes it as "tRNA-Trp". It matches the Rfam family "tRNA". Rfam says of the family: Transfer RNA (tRNA) molecules are approximately 80 nucleotides in length. Their secondary structure includes four short double-helical elements and three loops (D, anti-codon, and T loops). The record is from RNAcentral. Lineage: Eukaryota; Metazoa; Chordata; Lepidosauria; Squamata; Sphaerodactylidae.
AGAAACUUAGGUUAACUUUUAAACCAAGGGCCUUCAAAGCCCUAAACAGAGGAGCCUUCCCCUAGUUUCUG